RNAcentral lists this long non-coding RNA (4038 nucleotides) under Marmota monax (woodchuck). The record is from RNAcentral. Lineage: Eukaryota; Metazoa; Chordata; Mammalia; Rodentia; Sciuridae.
UUUUUUUUUUUGUAUUUUUUUGGGGGGAUGAAGGGAUGGUUUUUGUUUUGGUCUGGGUUAAUAAAUGCUUUUUAACAUCAAAUCACAUAAAAUAAUAGAGGAAGAAAUCGAGAGAUUCACCUUCAGUUUCAGCCCAAGUUUCAAGCAAUGCAUCUUUUAGUUCCUUUGGUUUCCUUUUUACAUUCUUCUCUUAGUUCUGCUAGGUUGCUACAGAAGAUUUCUGUAUAUGAAAGUCUGUGAUCAUUGCAUGUCAGCGUUGUGCCAUGUUUUACAAUGGAAUUUCAAAGAGAACCCAUGUUUGUGAGAUUUACAGACCAGGGUAUGAGUGUGGUGGGAGGGGGUCACCAAAGUCUCAGUGCCCACUUGAACUUGUGGUUAUUCACUUGUCCUAAACCCUGCUCUAUUUUACUGUUUGCCAGUCAUGACACAAAUGCCCCUCUUGAAAGAGAUUUACUCAUUAGUCCCAGCACUUAAUUUGGAAGUCUUACUCUCCUAGUACAAAAUGAAGCAGAAACUAAAAGUGGCCUUAAAUACUUCAUAGGUUACUUAAAAUUUUUACAAAAUAUCCCACUUAAUGCCAAACCUCCCAGUGUUCAAAGACAGUGAAGUCUUAAUUGUCAUGCUUUAAACAUGCCUUAAAAUUAUGCCACCAAAAUACUACAAUUCACAGCUUCACCAGACUGCAGUGCCAUCAAGUUAAUUUAUAGUCUUUACAACAUUGCUUGCGCAGUCUUACUGGUUUACAUUAAAAUCCUUUAAGCCAAAAGGAAGCUCGCUCAAUGGAUUUAAAUGCAAACUUCAUUUACCGGUGCAGGAAGUCUCAUAAAACUCAGAUGCACUCUCACAAAAAUUUUAUUGGCCUUUUUGUAAGAGAUGAAAAGGAAUUGACAACAGUUCUCUUUAAAGAGGGGAACUUUUUCUCUUUUUUAUUAUUUUUAUCUCCAACUGCAGAGGUGUUAUCCUUUGCCGUGGUCCCUGUAUUUUUCUUCCAGUUGGCUUGGAGAAGGAAUAUUAAAUCACUGAAACAGGGUUCUCUUUGGAUAAAAAAAAAAAAAAAAAGCUCUGGAUUUAUUGCAAUGAUUUUCCUUGAGAAAAAAAAAAUAUUUCUCAACAUCAGGAUUGAUAAGCAGAAUGUUAAAAUGUUGUGAUUGGUUUUCGAUAGUAUUCUCUAUUUGCCAAACUUCUGGCAAACUUACCUGUGAAAUUCAAAUCAUCAAAUCUUUUGAUAUGCUUUCAUUGUUUCCUCUUAGCUGUUUUCUCUUUGAUUUCUUAGUCUCUCUGCCCUCAAAUGUGUUGAAUGAUAUAGCUAUCAGAUGUAUCUAAGGUAAUGUUUUCUAAGGUCUCUGUUCCAACUCUGUGAAGGUCACAGGAAUCAGGAAGGAGCUGAGAAUCGUGCCUCUCUGGCCCAUUCUGUGGCCCAUUUUCAUUAUGUUUCCUCAUGAAACAUUGCAAAGUUUGAAUCCUUAGUAAUUCCCAUUGACUGGACUAGAGGUGACAGCCUUGACAAAUGGGAGAACAAUUUGUUGGCCUACAGAUGGUGACAAAAUUUUAUUAGCCCUUUGGUGUUUGUUGCCCUAGCGCUGUAUUUGAAAAUUGAUGCUUUAGCCAAAAGCUGAAUGGCCACCGUUUCUGUAGUUUCCACUGUUUUGUCUGCAUAGAAUUUUCCUGAACUAACAAGCAAAAACGUAUUUUGUCAAAUGUCACAAAAGUGAAAAUGUUACUAAUUUUAGACGUGUUGCAUAUUUUGUGUUUUUCCUUUCCAAACUCUUUUAAAAAGCUGCAGUUUCAAAGCUGUUUGGCUGUAUUGACAGCAUGUGGUGUUUUUUGCAAAAGCAAUUCUAGGAGAGCCAGUGUCUACCAUGGACUCCUCACAUCCCCACUGCAGGGUCAUCAACAAAAUCAAAAUGGCAAUUUGUAUGCUGUAAUUUUUCAAAAGAUAAAAGGGGAUGGAAACCAGACCUGGCUGUUAGUCACUAGUGUGUAGUACUGUGAUCUGAAGUAGGAAAUUUAACUCACAUAGAAUAAUUGUGGUUUUUGAAGCAGCUACUCAUUGCUUUUUCCUUUUGCUGUGAAGAUCAUGGACUUGGAAUGUCCUCAUGAGGUGGGCCUAAGACAGUAACAUUUAAACUUCAUGUCUUCAAACCCACCCUCCAUCUGAAUCCAAAGACAAAAAAAAAGACAGUAAGCUUCAUGGUUAGGCCUAAGCUUAAAAUUUCCUUCCCACCUCUAAUACUGAUUUGAUCAAGGGUUAUAUCCUUUCUUUUUUCCCAAAAAGUUUUAGCUUUGAAUUGCAGAAUAUAUCACUGAAUUUAGUAAUGUAGUUCUCUGUGUGAAUAGAAACAGGUAUCAAAAUUCUUUUACAAAAGGCAUAAUUACAAUGAAAACACCCUUUGGUCUCAAACUUUGCUGAACACUCAAAAAGUGUUUCACUUUUCUCAAGCAUUAUUUACACCCAAAUUCCAAAAUUGGACAAAGGAUGCAGUUUCCUUAAAAUGUAAACUCUAUAGUAGAGAUUUAAUUGUGGUUCUGGUGAAUCAUAAAAGGAGAGAUAAUAUUUGAAGAAGUUCAUAAGCAGAAUAUCAUUCCUCCUGACCCCUUCACUGAGACAUAGGCAUUACAAUCAGAAUUGGACUUAAUAGCCCCAGUGUUCCUCCUUAGCAAUCUCUGAUGGUGCUGAGGAGGGACCACCAGGAUGCAGCCAUCUAAGCCUCAUUAGAGAGUCCCUGAGCGUGAUCAAUCAGAAAUACUCCUUGAGGCUUAUUCUGGAUGUAGCCUGCUCUCAUUUGAAACUUCUCCCUAAGAAAUUGGGGAAACACUCAUACUGUCAGAAUUUUUGGUCAGAAAAGCAAUUUUCUCCUUUUCUUAACUGGAAUAAAGACUUAGAAUUCCCAUUGUUCCUAAUUGUAUCUGAUUGAUACACACGUUCCAUUAAGUCUUGACCUAGAAAUAUUGCAAACAUAAGCAGGUAGAGGGAAACUGGCCUCUCCUAAACCCAACUCGAAAACACAUCAGUAGUUGUUUACCUCCAUUUCUGUAUGGAAGAAUUUAAAACAGAUUUCAUUUUGUUCUGUUUAUUUUGGGAAGGUACAUGGGGGUGUUCUUCCCAGUGAUUCAUAUCUCAAACCCAUACCACUCUCAACUUUUAUUUGAUGUGUUCAAAGCCAAAAAAAAAAAAAAUAAUAAAAAGCAGGGCUGAACACUUAAUUUGACAUGAAGCUGAAGGAGUGGGCAAGGCAGAGGAGAAAGUCUGAAGAAAGCAUGGCCUUGGCUUCAUACCACACUUUUUGUGCCUUGUAUUAUCAAUGUAAAUUCUGAAUGUUGUACAGUAAAUACGGAUGGACUUCUUAGAGAAGGCUGCACCGGCUUCUUUUUCAGCACAUGUACAUAUCUAUAAAUAUAUAUACAUAUAUAUUUGGUAAUGCCAAACAGCUGUGUUAUAUUGUACUGAACAAAAUGGACAGUUUGGAUGUUUUAUGUAGAGUUUGCAAAAAAAAAAAAAAAAAAAAACCUGGAUGGUUACAGACUUUUCGAGAUAAAUGUACAGACGUAAAUUACUGCAUAUCAGUUAUUUAUGAAUAAAGAGUCUUUUAUUGACAUUUUAGGAUACUCCAUGAGUGGAACUUUGAAAUCUCAACAAGGACCCUCUUAUAUAUCUCCCUUCACAUGCAAUCAGGAAUUGGAAUGCUAGCUACAGGGACAAUUUCUACAUACUUGUUGACAUAGUGACCCUAAUUUCUCACUCUGGCCUCAAGAGGGAGGCUACUGAAAGCAAAGAUGAUCUUCUAACAUUCUCAUCCCACCUAAAGACACACACACAUACUUUUCCUUAUGAUAUAAUUCUAUAUACUUCAAGGUUAUUAUAGGCCACAGCAAAACGGAUAUCUUUCACCUUACUCCUCAAAUGGGUUAUUUUUACAGACUGUAUCACUUUGCCUCUCUAUGGGAAAAUAUUAGGAAAGUAAGUAAUUACAAUGUUGUAUGUUUCCAAUACAUUCUGACUGCCUGAAUCUGUUUUAAAUGUUUUAUUUUUUUAAGUGC